RNAcentral lists this ribosomal RNA (424 nucleotides) under uncultured bacterium. Its description in RNAcentral is "partial 16S ribosomal RNA". It matches the Rfam family "Bacterial small subunit ribosomal RNA", at positions 360 to 776 of the family's 1533-position model. The record is from RNAcentral.
AAUAUUGUACAAUGGGCGAAAGCCUGAUCCAGCCAUGCCGCUUGUGUGAAGAAGGUCUUCGGAUUGUAAAGCACUUUAAGUUCGGCUGAAUGGUUGUAGGUUAAUACCCUCCACUUUUUACGUUACCAACAGAAUAAGCACCGGCUAACUUCGUGCCAGCCUCCGCGGUAAUACGAAGGGUGCAAGAGUUAAUCGGAAUUACUGGGCGUAAAGCGGGGGUAGGUGGUUCGGUAAGUUGGAAGUGAAAGCCACGGGCUUAACCUGGGAAUUGCUUUCAAAACUGACGAGCUAGAGUACGGUAGAGGGUAGUGGAAGUUCCUGUGUAGCGGUGAAAUGCGUAGAUAUAGGAAGGAACAUCAGUGGCGAAGGCGACUACCUGGACUGAUACUGACACUGAGGUGCGAAAGCGUGGGGAGCAAACAGG